Bemisia tabaci is the source of this 1498-nucleotide non-coding RNA. Lineage: Eukaryota; Metazoa; Arthropoda; Insecta; Hemiptera; Aleyrodidae. The record is from RefSeq and is a predicted model, not a curated record.
UUGAGCUGGGCGGGAAAAAAGCGACCGCGGAAGCGUCGACUCGGCAACAUCGCGCACCGAAGUCAAGGUCACGCCGCCAAGUUCUCAAAACCUAAAAGCGCGAGCAAGGCAGUCAGAGUCGGGAAGCUCGCGCAAAUCCUUCUCGGAAAUCGUCCCCCUCGAAAUCCCCCCCAAAACCCCCCGAAUCCGCGGUUUACGGUCCGGAGUGCGCGUGGUGAACUUGGAUCGGACGGAACGGCGGCGCGCGGAUCCGGGAAUUGGGUCGCCAUAUUGGGCCCGAUGGAGAUGAGCACUUGUUAAUGUAGGUUAGUGUUCGCGGCUUCGGAUGUUUGGAGUGCGGUUUUUUCGGCCACUGGUUCAAGUUCAACUACUCGUGUCGGGCCGAAAUGGCGCAGUUCCGACGCCAGGCUCCGCGGGAUUCUCGCGGAUUCCCUCGGGAAAAUUGUGCAAAUUUGUGGUGGAAGUGCGAGCUGGGAUUAGUUGAUUUUAGUUAUAUUUUCUGUAUGUUGGAGUUUAUGGCCAACGUGCGUUAAAAAUGCAGCAUAUAGCUGAAAAUCUCGAUACAGAGGAAAAAAAGCUCAUACGAGCACAAUUGGAUCAGUGAGAACGAAAACACGCCAACUCCUGAAAUGCGUGCUGGAAAUAGUUCAGAUAGGAUUCAUUCAUUUUAAAUAAGUAUUUAAAGCGAACUCGCGACUUUCCUCAAAAUAUGUAAAAUUUUGUACAACAUUAUCCCUGCUAACAUCUAAACUUGAAAUUUUAUGGAGAUUAUGGUGAAAGUACGUGCUAGAAAUAGUUCAUUCAGUUGAGUUUUUGCAUUUCCCGGCGUAAGUAGGCAAUUUAUUCUAAACUGGAAGCAUUGCAAGUGAACUUGCGACUUUCCUUACAAUAUCUCAAAUUCCUUCAAAAAUCAUCCCAUGCUAACAUUCAAUCUUAAAAUUUUAUGGAGAUAAUGGUGAAAAUGUGCGCUGGAAAAAGUUGGAUUCGCUGGAUUCAGUUGAGUUUUUACAUACUCCGGCGUAAGUAGGCAAUUUACUCUAAAUUGGAGGCAUUUAAAGCGAAAUUGCGCCCUUCCUUACCAUUUUGUACAAAAAUUAUCCCUGAUAACAUAGUGUGAUCAUACUGGCUAACAUCCGUGAUUAACAUAAAUUUAAUAAUAUUUUAGCGGUUAAAAUGCUCCUUGUUGGAGAGUGUUACGUGAAAUUUCUUUCGAUCUCGGGAAAUGUGUUGUGAAGUGAUUCUAUGUGAAGAAUUUGUGAUUUAGUUGCAGAUUUUCUACAGAUCAUUUGCUAGUAUUUAAAGGGGGGACGAGCGAUGAAUCGCGAUUCAUCAUUCAAGUUUGUCUUGGUUAAUUAUCAAAUAGUGAGAAUGUCGACAAAGUUGCGCCUUCAAGUAGAGCGAUACCGCCCGCCUUGACUGCCAUCCUACAAUGAUCGCAACGAGCGAAUUUAAUCACAACGACUGUAUUUCUGAAGAAACGGAUUCUUUGAGACGGAAA